GGGGAAUAUUGCGCAAUGGGGGAAACCCUGACGCAGCAACGCCGCGUGAGCGAUGAAGGCCUUCGGGUCGUAAAGCUCUGUCUUUAGGGACGAUAAUGACGGUACCUAAGGAGGAAGCCACGGCUAACUACGUGCCAGCAGCCGCGGUAAUACGUAGGUGGCGAGCGUUGUCCGGAAUUACUGGGCGUAAAGGGUGCGUAGGCGGAUGUUUAAGUCAGAUGUGAAAUCCCUGGGCUCAACCCGGGAAUAGCAUUUGAAACUGGAUAUCUGGAGUGCAGGAGAGGAAAGCGGAAUUCCUAGUGUAGCGGUGAAAUGCGUAGAUAUUAGGAAGAACACCAGUGGCGAAGGCGGCUUUCUGGACUGUAACUGACGCUGAGGCACGAAAGCGUGGGGAGCAAAC
Molecule: ribosomal RNA, 400 nt
Filed under: uncultured bacterium
Lineage: Bacteria
Description: bacterial SSU rRNA
Rfam family: Bacterial small subunit ribosomal RNA
Source: RNAcentral